RNAcentral lists this small nuclear RNA (20 nucleotides) under Arabidopsis thaliana (thale cress). RNAcentral's name for it is "snRNA_06231". Lineage: Eukaryota; Viridiplantae; Streptophyta; Magnoliopsida; Brassicales; Brassicaceae. The record is from RNAcentral.
ACCCGGGUGAUCAAGUCCGA